AUUGAACGCUGGCGGCAGGCCUAACACAUGCAAGUCGAACGAGUGGCGGACGUGUGAGUAAUGUCUGGGAAACUGCCUGAUGGAGGGGGAUAACUACUGGAAACGGUAGCUAAUACCGCAUACCAUCGGAUGUGCCCAGAUGGGAUUAGCUAGUAGGUGGGGUAAAGGCUCACCUAGGCGACGAUCCCUAGCUGGUCUGAGAGGAUGACCAGACACAUUGGAACUGAGACACGGUCCAGAAUCCGACGGGAGGCAGCAGUGGGGAAUAUUGCACAAUGGGCGCAAGCCUGAUGCAGCCAUGCCGCGUGUAUGAAGAAGGCCUUCGGGUUGUAAAGUACUUUCAGCGAGGAGGCGUUACUCGCAGAAGAAGCACCGGCUAACUCCGUGCCAGCAGCCGCGGUAAUAC
This 406-nucleotide ribosomal RNA is filed under the name uncultured bacterium. RNAcentral describes it as "partial 16S ribosomal RNA". It matches the Rfam family "Bacterial small subunit ribosomal RNA", at positions 30 to 526 of the family's 1533-position model. The record is from RNAcentral.